UAAGCUCAAAUCGAAAGAUACUUAAAUGUAUUAAAUUUUUUUUUUCUCUUUUCUGGUAUUGAUCUUGUCAUUAUUAGAACAAGUGGGAGAUUGUUGAAUUUAUAAACAAUAAAUGUCCACGGGUGUGUUCCCAAAUGAUAAGAAAAGUGGAAGUGAGUAAAUGUCAAUAAAUGCUUAGGAAAUAGUCCCACAUAGAAAGUGACACUCACAUUAAAA
RNAcentral lists this long non-coding RNA (216 nucleotides) under Lathyrus oleraceus (garden pea). RNAcentral describes it as "Pisum sativum (pea) long non-coding RNA (PSAT_LNC015891)". Lineage: Eukaryota; Viridiplantae; Streptophyta; Magnoliopsida; Fabales; Fabaceae. The record is from RNAcentral.